Molecule: ribosomal RNA, 522 nt
Filed under: uncultured Clavulina
Lineage: Eukaryota; Fungi; Basidiomycota; Agaricomycetes; Cantharellales; Hydnaceae
Description: eukaryotic LSU rRNA
Rfam family: 5.8S ribosomal RNA (bases 120-273)
Source: RNAcentral
UGAGGGAAUAAUGAGUUGACUGCCACUUCGGGGUGAUUAUCUUCCAUUCCCCUGAAUUACUAUACACUUUUCAGAAAUGGUGAACGUGAUCUGUGCCGCAAUGGCCAUUAAUACAAUAUAACUUUUAACAACGGAUCUCUUGGCUCUCGCAUCGAUGAAGAACGCAGCGAAAUGCGAUAAGUAAUGUGAAUUGCAGAAUUCAGUGAAUCAUCGAAUCUUUGAACGCACCUUGCGCUCCCUGGUAUUCCGGGGAGCACGCCUGUUCGAGUGUCGUGAAAUUUCUCAAGCUUGGCUGACAAUUUUUUUUGUCUGUCCUUAGUUUGGUUGUUGGGCUUUGCCGUCUCCUUCAUUGGGACGGCUGGCCUCAAAAGCAUUAGCUGAUCCUUGUGUGGAACUGGUUCUACUCAGCGUGAUAACAGUCUGAUCGCUGAGGACAUCUUUUGGGAUGGCCAGUCCCCAUAUGGGUUGCUUCUAAACCCGGUUUUGCAGAUUGUUUGAUCUGUAUUCCAAUUUUCAGCUUGA